CAAGACGUCCUUCUCCCUCCCGUGGGGAGGAGGAGGUGGAAUAUGCAUUGGCCACACUCAAAGCAUGAAAAAAUGUGGUGCCACCUUUACUGAGGAUGGCUUAGCAGCUUGUUUGGCAAGCAGUCCCAUCAAAUCCAGUGAGCAGCUAAGCUGUAACAAUAGCUUCUGUCCUGAGCGAGGAGCAGCAUGAAGCUGUGUGACCCUGGGAGCAGGCAUCCAGAGAACCACAAUCCCCACCUGGCCCUGGGAGAAGGUGCUUCACUUCUUGUCUUUACUAUGCACCAGGCUAACUGAUCUGGGCAGAGUAAGUAGAAACAAGAGGUCCUCCUUCCUCUGCCCCUCUGUGCCCACCGUCUCACAGUGGGAAGUAGCCACGGCUCCCCCCCAUCUCAGUCAGACCCGAGCCAGGGCAAUACAGGCUAUGAUAAUCAAAGAUGAUCCUGGCUGUAUGCAUGUGAGGCAGAACCAGGCCCUUGGAAGAUGUGCAAGGAACAAACUUUUACAAGAGUGUAUUGCAGAGAUGAGAAGGGGAGACAUUAAUCAUAUUUAAUGAGGAUCCAAUAUAAUAUCCCCGUAUUGGAGAUAAAAUGUGCAACUGUGGGUAGGGAAGCAGCGACGGACAGAAGCAAUGCAGAGAGAACUGGGCACGGCACCUCCUGCAAAAUUAAAGAGGAUCAUUUGCUUGUGAUGCAGUAGUUAGAAGGUAAAUGCAAUCUUGGGAUUCAUAACCAGGGGCGUUGUGUGUAAGGGCAGGGAAGUAAUCCUUUCCCUCUAGCACAAGGCUAGUUAAACUGCAGCUGGAGUCAUGCAGAAGGUUUUAGGCAACGUACGGCAGAAAGGAGAGAGAGAAAUAGCUAGGAGAGUAGAUGGCAGCCACUAGAAUGAUAAAGGGUUUAGAGGGAAUGACUGUGAGGAAAGAGAUUAGGGAAAAUUAAACUUGUACAGGCUGGAAAAAGAGGCUGUGGGGGAAUAUGAUUUUGGCCAAUGAGUACAGACAGACGCUGCAAAGAAGCAGAAAAUUGUUCUCGUUAUUUAACAGGGAAGAAAGAGCCUAGAAACAAUGGAGGGAAAAUGAGCAAGAGGCUAGAAUGGCUUAAAGGGCCAGAAAGAUAUUGAUGGUGGUGCCAAGAGGUGCCAGGGGAAUGGAGCCCAAGUUGCGGCAGCUCACCACGUUCUGGCUGGGUAGAUACCUACUGGUCAUGGGGAUGGGGCCUCCGGCAGCUGGAGAACAAGGCUGUGGGAUCUCUGUGAGCAAAUUGCUUUGUUCUGCUGUGCCUCAGUUUCCCCAGCAUUAACCUGAGAUCAGUGAGUCCUUUCCAAGGGGGUUGCUUGGCUUCGAGUGUGCGAUGGCUGGGAGCUUCCGAAGAUGCCAUUGAGCUGCAGCAGGAGAUGGGCAUCUAAUGCCUCGAGGAUCCUUUGAUCAUAGAUGUUUCCUUUCCUUGAGAAUGGCUAAGCAUUCAUCUGUAGGUACCCCUAGCAAGUCCAGAGGAAAUGAAGGAUCCCGUUUUAAACUGAGAACUGGGGUCAGCUGGAUGCUUCCAGCAACACCGAAAGCCACGGAUACGGAAUCCAAACUCUGAGUGGGGUCACAGCAGCUUCAGGAUAGCAGGGAGGAGAAUCAAGGGAGGAGAAAGUGGCUCACUAGCAAAUAUCCAAAGCAGAGCAGGAGUGUUGACUCCCAAGUGCCUUGAGAAGCAGCUGGUGAAAUCGCGUGUGAAAUAUCACAGCAUUACGGCAAGAGCGGUGAUGAGGUGUAAGGCUGUGAUUGUAAUAAGGACAGACGUGGGUCUUUACCGCGUUCAGGCAGAUGCUUUGAUUGACUGGCUGAGGCUC
Long non-coding RNA from Gavialis gangeticus (Gharial), 1833 nucleotides. RefSeq lists it as uncharacterized. The transcript has 3 exons. NCBI's taxonomy places the organism in Eukaryota, Metazoa, Chordata, Crocodylia, Gavialidae. The record is from RefSeq and is a predicted model, not a curated record.